This 400-nucleotide ribosomal RNA is filed under the name phytoplankton environmental sample. Its description in RNAcentral is "partial small subunit ribosomal RNA". It matches the Rfam family "Eukaryotic small subunit ribosomal RNA", at positions 587 to 980 of the family's 1831-position model. The record is from RNAcentral.
AGCUCCAGUAGCGUAUAUUAAUGUUGUUGCAGUUAAAAAGCUCGUAGUUGGAUUUCUGACUUGACAGCCUGACCCGUUUUCAAAGAUUUGAAAAUGUGUGUUGUGGCGCGUCAUUCAUCUUUCCAGGGAACUGUUCUACCCUUCAUUGGGCCGGAGCUGCGAUCUGGGACUUUUACUUUGAAAAAAUUAGAGUGUUCAAAGCAGGCUAGCGCGUAUGAAUACAUUAGCAUGGAAUAAUAAUUUAGGACUUUGGUCCUAUUUUGUUGGUUUUCGGGACUAAAGUAAUGAUUGAUAGGGAUAGUUGGGGGUGCUAGUAUUCAGCGGCCAGAGGUGAAAUUCUUGGAUUCGCUGAAGACUAACUUAUGCGAAAGCAUUCACCAAGGAUGUCUUCUUUAAUCAA